Molecule: ribosomal RNA, 455 nt
Filed under: uncultured Mollicutes bacterium
Lineage: Bacteria; Bacillati; Mycoplasmatota; Mollicutes
Description: bacterial SSU rRNA
Rfam family: Bacterial small subunit ribosomal RNA
Source: RNAcentral
GCACAAGCGGUGGAGUAUGUUGUUUAAUUCGAAGAUACACGAAGACCUUACCAGGUCUUGACAUACCAUUGACAGGCGCAGAGAUGUGCUCUCCUUCGGGCAAUGGAUACAGGUGGUGCAUGGUUGUCGUCAGCUCGUGCCGUGAGGUGUUGGGUUAAGUCCCGCAACGAGCGCAACCCUCAUUGUUAGUUACUACCAUUCAGUUGAGGACUCUAAUGAGACUGCCAACGAUAAGUUGGAGGAAGGUGGGGAUGACGUCAAAUCAUCAUGCCCUUUAUGACCUGGGCUACAAACGUACUACAAUGGCCAAUACAAAGAGAUGCGAAGCGGUGACGUGGAGCGAACCUCAGAAAGUUGGUCUCAGUUCAGAUUGAAGUCUGCAACGCGACUUCAUGAAGGCGGAAUCGCUAGUAAUCGCGGGUCAGCAGACCGCGGUGAAUACGUUCCCGGGUUUU